RNAcentral lists this ribosomal RNA (821 nucleotides) under uncultured Bacillota bacterium. RNAcentral describes it as "bacterial SSU rRNA". It matches the Rfam family "Bacterial small subunit ribosomal RNA", at positions 1 to 799 of the family's 1533-position model. The record is from RNAcentral. Lineage: Bacteria; Bacillati; Bacillota.
AGGGAGUUUGAUCCUGGCUCAGGACGAACGCUGGCGGCGUGCUUAACACAUGCAAGUCGAACGAGGUGAUUGAAAGCUUGCUUUUGAGAACCGAGUGGCAAACGGGUGAGUAACGCGUAGACAACCUGCCGCAAAGAUGGGGACAACAGUCCGAAAGGACUGCUAAUACCGAAUGUUGUGCAACUUCCGCAUGGGAGAUGCAUUAAAGAUGGCCUCUACUUGUAAGCUAUCGCUUUGCGAUGGGUCUGCGUCUGAUUAGCUAGUUGGUGGGGUAACGGCCUACCAAGGCGACGAUCAGUAGCCGGUCUGAGAGGAUGAACGGCCACAUUGGAACUGAGACACGGUCCAGACUCCUACGGGAGGCAGCAGUGGGGAAUCUUCCGCAAUGGGCGAAAGCCUGACGGAGCAACGCCGCGUGAGUGAAGAAGGUCUUCGGAUCGUAAAGCUCUGUUGUCGGGGACGAACGUACCUUUUGUGAAUAAUGAGAGGUAAUGACGGUACCUGACGAGGAAGCCACGGCUAACUACGUGCCAGCAGCCGCGGUAAUACGUAGGUGGCGAGCGUUGUCCGGAAUUAUUGGGCGUAAAGGGAGCGCAGGCGGGAAGGCAAGUCAGUCUUAAAAGUGCGGGGCUCAACCCCGUGAUGGGAUUGAAACUGUCUUUCUUGAGUGCAGGAGAGGAAAGCGGAAUUCCUAGUGUAGCGGUGAAAUGCGUAGAUAUUAGGAGGAACACCAGUGGCGAAGGCGGCUUUCUGGACUGUAACUGACGCUGAGGCUCGAAAGCGUGGGGAGCGAACAGGAUUAGAUACCCUGGUAGUCCCCU